Molecule: long non-coding RNA, 581 nt
Organism: Lontra canadensis (Northern American river otter)
Lineage: Eukaryota; Metazoa; Chordata; Mammalia; Carnivora; Mustelidae
Exons: 3
Source: RefSeq, a predicted model, not a curated record
GAUACUACUGAGCCUCCUUAGCAGUGGAAUCAUGAAUUUACACCAUGUGGUUAUUCGCUUACUUUCAGCUAGGAAAGAAAGAAAAGCUUUGGGCAUGAGGGUCUGAAAAAGAAAAAAGAGCUGAGACAAAGAGGAGUUUUUCAAAAUUCCUCAUAAUUCAAAAUGCAUAGCCCUCAAAUUAGGGAUGAACUUUAGAAGGUUCAAAAAAGUUGCCCUUCUGAUAACAAAAAAAGCACUACUGAAGAAUCCACUGCAGAAGAAAGGGCGCUCCCUAGGUACUGCAUAUCAGGACUGUGUUUAUAUAGUUCAGCAGAAAAGGAACUGGAGCAGAUACUGGCUUUUAGGAAGAAUUCCACAUAAAAGAGGGGGAAUUGUUCUCUUUUAGGUCUAAGAUGAAAUAGAUGAUCAUAACUGCUCUGCUUGGAGAUGCAUUUCAUGGCACAAUGUAUACGUGACCUACGCAAGGUCACGUCAUGGAAAGAGAACUGACAUGAGAGAUAACAAAUAGAAUCCAAGCUUUUAGUCUUGGACAACUUCAGGGUAACCUAUUUAGGCUUGCUUUAUUUCAUGCAAUACGGCAA